AAUAUUGGACAAUGGGGGCAACCCUGAUCCAGCCAUGCCGCGUGUGUGAAGAAGGUCUUCGGAUUGUAAAGCACCUUAAGUUGGGAGGAAGGGCUUUAGGUUAAUACCCUCAAGUUUUGACGUUACCAACAGAAUAAGCACCGGCUAACUCUGUGCCAUCAGCCGCGGUAAUACAGGGGGUGCAAGCGUUAAUCGGAAUUACUGGGCCUAAAGCGCGGGUAGGUGGUUCAGUAAGAUGGGUGUGAAAUCCCCGGGCUUAACCUGGGAACUGCUUUCAUAACUGCUGGGCUAGAGUACGGUAGAGGGUAGUGGAAUUUCCUGUGUAGCGGUGAAAUGCGUAGAUAUGGGAAGGAACACCAGUGGCGAAGGCGACUACCUGGACUGAUACUGACACUGAGGUGCGAAAGCGUGGGGAGCAAAC
Molecule: ribosomal RNA, 421 nt
Filed under: uncultured bacterium
Lineage: Bacteria
Description: partial 16S ribosomal RNA
Rfam family: Bacterial small subunit ribosomal RNA
Source: RNAcentral